UAUGGUCAGUUAGAAUUUCAGAUAUUUCUCCAAAUGGUGGUUUGCUUACAACUUGCUUAAUUUGAAUCUAACAUCUCUUCUGGUGGCGGUUUCCAACAGGAACUCACAUCACUUAACUGUGGAGUUAUAUUCGCAGGCCAAUGUUUAGAACUUAUUCCAGAUUUCCAGAGUAUCUCUACUUGACAUUCUUCAUAUGUUCUUAGUGUAUUCUAUCUGUAUGUUGAGUAAACUCAUGGAAUAUUAUGUCAGGAUUAUUCAAUGUUAUAUCUGCAGAUUUAUUUUCUCUGUGAAGGUGAUGUUCUUCCAUUUUUAUGAAUUAGAUACAACAUCUGCUCCUUUUGGAAAAUACACCCCAGGAAGACCCUUUGGUGCCAGCCUGCGCAUCACCCCUGACUGUCCCACUGAAGCAACUACUGAGACUACCCCCGAGACUCUACUCAGCCCCACUGUGACUUAACCCUGUUGACAGCCACCCUUUCAACAGUUCAAGAUGCUGAGGAUCCAUGUAUAUAGUCACAGUCUCCACGCAGCUCCUGCACACCCCAGCGCAUCCAGCCCGAGCAAUUCCAAAUUCUCUGCGCGCUUUCCCAGCCACCCCCAGGAUCCCGCCAGUACAUUUCCAGCCAUUACAGGAAGAGCUGAGGGAGAGCUACUGACUAAGCAGUAAGCAAGUUUCAAAUUAAAGGAGAUAAAAAUUACUUUCAAAAUAUAUAAAGUAUCAACAAUG
Herpailurus yagouaroundi (jaguarundi) is the source of this 727-nucleotide long non-coding RNA. RefSeq lists it as uncharacterized. NCBI's taxonomy places the organism in Eukaryota, Metazoa, Chordata, Mammalia, Carnivora, Felidae. The record is from RefSeq and is a predicted model, not a curated record. The transcript is spliced from 3 exons.